RNAcentral lists this ribosomal RNA (207 nucleotides) under uncultured bacterium. Its description in RNAcentral is "partial 16S ribosomal RNA". It matches the Rfam family "Bacterial small subunit ribosomal RNA", at positions 568 to 774 of the family's 1533-position model. The record is from RNAcentral.
AGCGCAGGCGGGAGAACAAGUUGGAAGUGAAAUCCAUGGGCUCAACCCAUGAACUGCUUUCAAAACUGUUUUUCUUGAGUAGUGCAGAGGUAGGCGGAAUUCCCGGUGUAACGGUGGAAUGUGUAGAUAUCGGGAAGAACACCAAUGGCGAAGGCAGGUCUCUGGGCCGUCACUGACGCUGAGGAGCGAAAGCGUGGGGAGCGAACA